This 460-nucleotide ribosomal RNA is filed under the name uncultured bacterium. Its description in RNAcentral is "partial 16S ribosomal RNA". It matches the Rfam family "Bacterial small subunit ribosomal RNA", at positions 338 to 795 of the family's 1533-position model. The record is from RNAcentral.
CCUACGGGAGGCAGCAGUGAGGAAUAUUGGUCAAUGGACGAGAGUCUGAACCAGCCAAGUAGCGUGAAGGAUGACUGCCCUAUGGGUGGAAAACUUCUUUUUUAGGGGAGUAAAUUGUUCUACGUGUGUGUUCUCGUAUGUACCGUAUGAAUUAGGAUAGCCUCACCUCGUGCCAGGAGCGGCGGUAAUACGGUGGGUCCGAGCGUUAUCCGGAUUGAUUGGGUUUAAAGUGAGCGUAGGUGGAUUGUUAAGUCAGUUGUGAAAGUUUACGGCUCAACCGUAAAAUUGCAGUUGAAACUGGCAGUCUGGAGUACAGUAGAGGUGAGUGGAAUUCGUGGUGUAGCGGUGAAAUGCUUAGAUAUCACGAAGAACUCCGAUGGCGAAGGCAGCUCACUGGACUGCAACUGACACUGAGGCUCGAAAGUGUGGGGAUCAAACAGGAUUAGAUACCCGGGUAGUC